This 118-nucleotide ribosomal RNA is filed under the name Gossypium arboreum. Lineage: Eukaryota; Viridiplantae; Streptophyta; Magnoliopsida; Malvales; Malvaceae. The record is from RNAcentral.
GGGUGCGAUCAUACCAGCACUAAUGCACCGGAUCCAAUCAGAACUCCGCAGUUAAGAGUGCUUGGGCGAGAGUAGUGCUAGGAUGGGUGACCUCCUGGAAGUCCUCGUGUUGCACCCU